UUUUUAGUUGUGAGGGGGGGGGGGGGGGGGGGUGGAAACAGGGAUUGCCUAGAUGCCUCUACUGUUUUUGGGAUCCGAGUCUUAAUGAAUGUUCAAGUUUGUUUCAUUGUAAAUGCAGAGGUUUAGAAAACGGCUCUUUGUCUGUGUAAAUAUGCAUCGGGAGCACACAGGUAAAUGGGCGAGGACUGAGGACAAUCACUAAUUAUCAAUCACUAAAAUCGAUUCUACAACAUUCCAGAUGCCUUGCAUUCAAAACAUGUCUUAAAGAAGCACAACAGGUUAACAUCAUCCAAUUUGAAGGAAGAGAGUAUAUUUUAAAAAAAGCCCAAUCCCCACAGUUUAAACAAAGACACGCGUGUUGUCUUUCGAGGACUGACGACUCGGGGGACCCGGUGUUUGAGAAGUCAAUCCAACUUCUGGUUUUAAUAACUGCAUCUUUUUUAACAGCGAUAUACUAUACUCGUUCAGCUAAAAUAACUCAUUGUAACGUUGAAUAAGAACUGUAACCCACACGUAAUUGAGGCUAGUCGGCUAAUCUAGCAUAGGACGAACCAGGUUGUCUUUUUUUUUAUUGGGUAUACUAGUGAAAGACAAUGUUUUUAUGUUCACACACAGUGGCUUCAGAUGUUAGUGGUAAUUAGAGCUUCAUGCUGCAAGAGGCUUCUUAAGUACUGCCAACACUGUGAUUAAUAAAGCAGCAGUUUUACGAUAUGACAUUCCAAUAAAUGCAGAAAUGGACAGGGGGAAAGUGGAGUGCUGUGAUGAACUGUUGGGACGUGGGUUUGACUUGAUACAGAAAUGA
Molecule: long non-coding RNA, 802 nt
Organism: Gasterosteus aculeatus aculeatus (three-spined stickleback)
Lineage: Eukaryota; Metazoa; Chordata; Actinopteri; Perciformes; Gasterosteidae
Source: Ensembl